RNAcentral lists this ribosomal RNA (446 nucleotides) under uncultured bacterium. RNAcentral's name for it is "partial 16S ribosomal RNA". It matches the Rfam family "Bacterial small subunit ribosomal RNA", at positions 338 to 795 of the family's 1533-position model. The record is from RNAcentral.
CCUACGGGUGGCAGCAGUCGAGAAUCAUUCACAAUGGGGGAAACCCUGAUGGUGCGACGCCGCGCGGGGGAAUGAAGGUCUUCGGAUUGUAAACCCCUGUCAUGUGGGAGCAAAUUAAAAAGAUAGUACCACACGAGGAAGAGACGGCUAACUCUGUGCCAGCAGCCGCGGUAAUACAGAGGUCUCAAGCGUUGUUCGGAAUCACUGGGCGUAAAGCGUGCGUAGGCUGUUUCGUAAGUCGUGUGUGAAAGGCGCGGGCUCAACCCGCGGACGGCACAUGAUACUGCGAGACUAGAGUAAUGGAGGGGGAACCGGAAUUCUCGGUGUAGCAGUGAAAUGCGUAGAUAUCGAGAGGAACACUCGUGGCGAAGGCGGGUUCCUGGACAUUAACUGACGCUGAGGCACGAAGGCCAGGGGAGCGAAAGGGAUUAGAUACCCCGGUAGUC